UCCGUAGUUGUAUCCUGUAGCGACCUUCUGUGGCCACGAGGGGGACAAGUAGCUGUCACGUCAAAACGAUAAAUAUGAGGAGAGAAGAGAUGCCAUUGCUUUACCUCCAUACAGAUGAAGACGGCUGAGCUGAAGCGAAGGCCGUUCACAGAAUGGUAACAGGUUUUGUUAAAAGCUUUUGACUCUUUAUUGCCCCUUGAGACGCAACCCUGGCUCCAGUGCCUCUGUUGCGCAGUAAGUCGGCAGAAAGUAACGGGCUCUCGAUAGCUCAAAUCCACUAUUAAGUGGGCUUUGGGUAUGGAACCGGGCCAGAUACUUACUGUCAAUCUACCAUGAAGACGUCAAGGAUUCCACUUUGAUGGUUCAGACACACCUGUGGAGCAGCAGCGGCUUGACUUCAGGAAGGUGACUACUCAGUGUGCCUCAGGGUUGGAGACGAUAUUAUUUCCAGGAGCUCUCAUGAUCCCUCACCACCUCUCUUCAUGUCUUGAUUUCCUGUUCGAGCAUUUCAUCCGCCUUACUUCCAUUAGUUUGUUUUGUCUUUUGCUUAACUGAUGAAGACAUUGUUUUUUCAGUUGUAUUUUUUAUUUUGAUUACGUGCAUAUGCAGCGUAAUGUCCUCGUUGUGCAUAAUCACAUAUGAAAGAUUACUUUGGCAAUUGCAUUUGUGGUGAGUGCUAUAUCAGUUUUCCCACAAUCAAAUCACUCUGAUGAUCAUAUGAUAAAGGAAAGUGUUUGUCUGUGUCGAUCCAUUCCCUAGGAAAUGGUGAUUUCCUUUCCUGUUCACUCACAUUUACAAACUGAAAAUAUGUAAUGGGAGCUUUUACUUGACUAUUCAGCUGGUGUCGAAUUUGACAUGCUUGAAACAGAAAAUGUAAUAAAAUAAAGCUACAUAAAAUAAAAUUAUUUUCCUGAAAGUUGUAAAAUGUCCAUUUUAAAAAUAAUAUCACUUAAUAGGGUAGAGCAAAACAAACAAAAAGUUAAAAGAAUAACUCAUAAAAAGACUUAAUUAUUGAGGUGCAUAAAAUUUAGGAGCACUAGAAGCAAAAGACUGCAAAAUUAAAUAGAAUUCAUUGUAGUAAAAAAACACGGAAAGCAAACGUCAGCAUGCAUUGAAGUGGCUCAGUGUGAAGUGUAGCAGACGGGGCAAAAGUGGCUGCACGCAGACUAAUGUGGGAUCAGUGCUGAACUUGA
Molecule: long non-coding RNA, 1193 nt
Organism: Oreochromis aureus
Lineage: Eukaryota; Metazoa; Chordata; Actinopteri; Cichliformes; Cichlidae
Source: Ensembl